CGUUUUGGAUCGAAAAGGUAAACCUAGCCAAGAAAAAGUGAAAAAAAAACAGAGCGUAAUUUGCUUUGGCUUUCACUUUCACUUUCCAAACUCAGUAUUCCUCUUGAAUAUUUCAAAAUUUGUUGUAUUUCUUCAUGUUCAAAAAAUAAUUGUAUAAAAUCGAUUGAAUUAAAAUGGAAAGGAGUGGUGGCAAAGGCAGGGAAGAAGAGGAACAAGACGGCAUGUCCGUACACUCUCCUUGCAAACCUCCCCCUUCCUCUGCUUCUUCUCUCCCAAAGGAGCAAUCACAGGUUGAAUUGGAGCUCAGACUGUUUGAAGCUCUUGAAAUUUACCCUCCCGGAAAAUUACAAGGCAUACACCGUCAUUUCGUGCUUUAUGGUUUAAUGGAAUUUCUUCGUAGAAGCUUUGAUCGACACUUCUCUGCUGACGAGGUUCUGCAAUUGCUAGAGAGGUUCUACAACUUGGAAAUGCUGGUGAAUAGGUACUAAAUAGCUGCGUUAUUCGAGUUCGAGGCAUACAUUCGGUGAAAGGGUAGGCUUGAGGAAACAUUUGGAAUGGGGUCUCGUAUGCGGAAGUUUGAUAAACCAGACGACGAGGAGAUGGAUUUCCUGAAUCGCGAGGAAGAGUUUUGCCUGCCUCAAAAUUUCUUCGUCAAGGAAGAACCAUAACUGAUUAUUUUUGUAUAGAAUUAUAUCUUGUUCGUACGUAUUUUGUUUGCUCUAAUGUUAUGCGAUGCCGGUCAUCCAGUCUUUUUCCGUGACCAUACAAUGUCAGGGUGGUUUUUGCUAAUAUGUAUGAACUUGCUUGAAAAUCUUAAUUAGCAUUUGGGGGUUAUAGUUAUACCUCAGCAGUGGA
RNA transcript from Malus domestica (apple), 855 nucleotides. RefSeq lists it as uncharacterized. NCBI's taxonomy places the organism in Eukaryota, Viridiplantae, Streptophyta, Magnoliopsida, Rosales, Rosaceae. The record is from RefSeq and is a predicted model, not a curated record.